This 264-nucleotide ribosomal RNA is filed under the name uncultured bacterium. RNAcentral's name for it is "partial 16S ribosomal RNA". It matches the Rfam family "Bacterial small subunit ribosomal RNA", at positions 1226 to 1500 of the family's 1533-position model. The record is from RNAcentral.
UACAAUGGCCGGUACAGAAAGCAGCGAAGUCGCGAGGCGGAGCAAAUCUCAAAAACCGGUCCCAGUUCGGACUGCAGGCUGCAACCCGCCUGCACGAAGCCGGAGUUGCUAGUAAUCGCGAAUCAGAAUGUCGCGGUGAAUGCGUUCCCGGGUCUUGUACACACCGCCCGUCACACCAUGGAAGUUGGGGGUGCCCAAAGCCGGCAAGCAAAUAUGCUGUCUAAGGCAAAACCAAUGACUGGGGUGAAGUCGUAACAAGGUAAC